Molecule: ribosomal RNA, 499 nt
Filed under: uncultured Glomeromycotina
Lineage: Eukaryota; Fungi; Glomeromycota
Description: partial small subunit ribosomal RNA
Rfam family: Eukaryotic small subunit ribosomal RNA
Source: RNAcentral
CCAAUAGCGUAUAUUAAAGUUGUUGCAGUUAAAAAGCUCGUAGUUGAAUUUCGGGAUCAGUUGGUCGGUCGUGCCUCGGUACGUACUGGUCAAAUUGAUUCCUACCUUCUGACGAACCACGAUGUCAUUAAUUUGGUGUCGUGGGAAAUCAGGACUGUUACUUUGAAAAAAUUAGAGUGUUUAAAGCAGGCUCGCGCUUGAAUACAUUAGCAUGGAAUAAUGAAAUAGGACGUUUGAUUCUAUUUUGUUGGUUUCUAGGAUCGACGUAAUGAUUAAUAGGGAUAGUUGGGGGCAUUAGUAUUCAAUUGUCAGGGGUGAAAUUCUUGGAUUUAUUGAAGACUAACUACUGCGAAAGCAUUUGCCAAGGAUGUUUUCAUUAAUCAAAAACGAAAGUUAGGGGAUCGAAGACGAUCAGAUACCGUCGUAGUCUUAACCAUAAACUAUGCCGACUAGGGAUCGGAUGAUGUUAAUUUUUUAAUGACUCAUUCGGCGCCUUACG